CAAUCAUAAAAUCUAUAAAAAAAAUAAAAAACAAUGAUAUAACUUGCAUUGGGCUUGAACCUACUUCCCGUGUAUCCCGCCGUACGAGAGUCGAAGCGAUUUCAAACUGCAUCAACUUCGCGUAUACGUCAUGUGGGAAUAUACACAAACUGAACAACUUUUUGACAUUUUGUUUAUAUGAAUUUUUAUUAGUUUGAUUUUUGUCGAAUUAAAAUACAAUAUAUAAAGUAAGAAAACGAUACAUUAGAUGAAAAUUUGUAGAAAGUUUGUUCCUAAUCAGAUUAUGUAAAUUAAAGCAUUGCCUACUAGAGGUAUAGCAUAGCAAGUACUAGGUAAGUACAUUAUUUUUUUUUACAUUUUCCAAAUAGGUAUGAAGAUAAUUUUUUAUUGGAAUACAACUGAAACAUUUAGAAUUACGUACCUGUGGCUUUUCAAAACUAUUUAAAAAGUCACUAUAAUUAUAAAAUUGAUUUUAUUUCUGUCCUCACAACAAUAAAAACUAAUAUAUUAUACAACAUUUUUGUUUACCGAUAACCUCCAUAUUGAACAAUUAUUGACAGAUCAUUUCAACACCCAAUCAGAGCCCGUAUAAAGACUAAUACCAAACUGUCGGUGUGCUCAUGCGCGCAGAUCAAUAUAGAUUCACCCUCAAUCUCAAUCGCGCCUAAAGAAGUAUAACUUCAAAAAGAUGCGAGUGUUGAAACGUGAUACAACGUUGGUGUUUGUACAUCCAUCAAGGGAGUUUUCUCCGUAACGGGGCGAAGAUAGAAUAUUUUAUUUUAUUUUUAAUUUUGAACUGUAUAUCAAUAUCCUGAAUAUAUUUACUUUAUUUUUAA
This 836-nucleotide long non-coding RNA is filed under the name Diabrotica virgifera virgifera (western corn rootworm). RNAcentral describes it as "uncharacterized LOC126883945". Lineage: Eukaryota; Metazoa; Arthropoda; Insecta; Coleoptera; Chrysomelidae. The record is from RNAcentral.